GAGAGAUGUGUACAUGGCGUAAUAUUGCUCCGGCUCAGCUUGGUUUUCUCAGUUUUACAUUGUCAGUUGUUUUGGAGCUGAGCCGAACCAAUAUUACUCUUGUAUGCUUUCUC
RNAcentral lists this microRNA precursor (113 nucleotides) under Daucus carota subsp. sativus. The record is from RNAcentral. Lineage: Eukaryota; Viridiplantae; Streptophyta; Magnoliopsida; Apiales; Apiaceae.